RNAcentral lists this ribosomal RNA (443 nucleotides) under uncultured bacterium. RNAcentral describes it as "partial 16S ribosomal RNA". It matches the Rfam family "Bacterial small subunit ribosomal RNA", at positions 338 to 795 of the family's 1533-position model. The record is from RNAcentral.
CCUACGGGAGGCAGCAGUGGGGAAUAUUGCACAAUGGGCGAAAGCCUGAUGCAGCAACGCCGCGUGAAGGAAGAAGGGUUUCGGCUCGUACACUUCUAUCAACAGGGACGAAAGAAAUGACGGUACCUUAAUAAGAAGCCCCUGCUAACUACGUGCCAGCAGCCGCGGGAAUACGUAGGGGGCAAGCGUUAUCCGGAAUUACUGGGUGUAAAGGGUGCGGAGGCGGCAUGGUAAGCCAGAUGUGAAAACCUUGGGCGUAACCCGAGGAUUGCAUUUGAAACUAUCAAGCUAGAGGACAGGAGAGGAAAGCGGAAUUCCUAGUGUAGCGGUGAAAUGCGUAGAUAUUAGGAAGAACACCAGUGGCGAAGGCGGCUUUCUGGACUGAAACUGACGCUGAGGCACGAAAGCGUGGGGAGCGAACAGGAUUAGAUACCCGAGUAGUC